UAGAGUUUGAUCCUGGCUCAGAUUGAACGCUGGCGGCAGGCUUAACACAUGCAAGUCGAGCGGGGAUAGGGUGCUUGCACCUGAUUCCUAGCGGCGGACGGGUGAGUAAUGCUUAGGAAUCUGCCUAUUAGUGGGGGGCAACGUUCCGAAAGGGACGCUAAUACCGCAUACGUCCUACGGGAGAAAGCAGGGGAUCUUCGGACCUUGCGCUAAUAGAUGAGCCUAAGUCGGAUUAGCUAGUUGGUGGGGUAAAGGCCUACCAAGGCGACGAUCUGUAGCGGGUCUGAGAGGAUGAUCCGCCACACUGGGACUGAGACACGGCCCAGACUCCUACGGGGGGCAGCA
RNAcentral lists this ribosomal RNA (345 nucleotides) under uncultured bacterium. RNAcentral describes it as "bacterial SSU rRNA". It matches the Rfam family "Bacterial small subunit ribosomal RNA", at positions 1 to 353 of the family's 1533-position model. The record is from RNAcentral.